UGGGGAAUCUUGCGCAAUGGGCGAAAGCCUGACGCAGCGACGCCGCGUGAGCGAUGAAGGCCCUCGGGUUGUAAAGCUCUGUGGAGAGGGACGAAUAAGUACUGGUUAAUACCCAGUGCGAUGACGGUACCUCUUUAGCAAGCACCGGCUAACUCUGUGCCAGCAGCCGCGGUAAGACAGAGGGUGCAAACGUUGUUCGGAAUUACUGGGCGUAAAGCGCGUGUAGGCGGCCUUACAAGUCGGAUGUGAAAGCCCUGGGCUCAACCUAGGAAGUGCAUUCGAAACUGUGAGGCUCGAGUCCUGGAGAGGAAAGCGGAAUUCUGGGUGUAGAGGUGAAAUUCGUAGAUAUCCAGAGGAACACCUGUGGCGAAGGCGGCUUUCUGGACAGGUACUGACGCUGAGACGCGAAAGCGUGGGGAGCAAACAGGAUUAGAUACCCCCGUAGUCC
This 448-nucleotide ribosomal RNA is filed under the name uncultured prokaryote. Its description in RNAcentral is "bacterial SSU rRNA". It matches the Rfam family "Bacterial small subunit ribosomal RNA", at positions 355 to 796 of the family's 1533-position model. The record is from RNAcentral.